This 256-nucleotide ribosomal RNA is filed under the name uncultured bacterium. Its description in RNAcentral is "partial 16S ribosomal RNA". It matches the Rfam family "Bacterial small subunit ribosomal RNA", at positions 524 to 777 of the family's 1533-position model. The record is from RNAcentral.
UACAGAGGGGGCAAGCGUUAUUCGGAAUUAUUGGGCGUAAAGGGCGCGUAGGCGGCUUGGCAAGUGGAAGGUGAAAUCCCUCGGCUUAACCGAGGAACUGCCCUCCAAACUGCUUCGCUUGAGACCGGGAGAGGUGAGUGGAAUUCCCAGUGUAGCGGUGAAAUGCGUAGAUAUUGGGAGGAACACCAGUGGCGAAGGCGGCUCACUGGACCGGUACUGACGCUGAGGCGCGGAAAAGCGUGGGGAGCAAACGGGG